AGCAGUGCGUGUUAUCACAGGGCCGGAGAGCUGCCUGCACAGGAUGUGUUGGGGAGCUGCAUAGAAACACAUGUGUGUGCGUGCAGCUUUUGGCGUGUGCACACCAGGCCCGGGAGAAUUUUCUAUGGCUUCGCAAACUGGAUUUCCAAGCGGGAGCCGGCCUGAGCACCCACCUCUUCCAUGUGCUACCCACGGCCCCAACCGGCCAGUGAGGUCCUGAGAAAUGUGGUCUGUGGCUGCUUCCGUUCUGCCCGGGGCUCUGUGGCCUGGAUGGUGGGCAGAGACCUGAACCGGGACAGAGAGGCGUCUCAGAGCCGUGCGGAGGAGCUCGGCCUCUCACCACCUUCCUGGGCGUCUUCUGAAUACUUCCGAGUGUAGGAGCAUCUUCUCCAACCGGCAAGUCAGUAGGUCUCCGAGAGGAAGGAGGACACAGGCCUCGGCCAGGCUUAGCGUUCAGCAUCCGUCCACGAAGCGCUGCCUCUGUGCCGUGCGCUGAGCUGGGCCCUCUCUCACUGAGUCCUCACGAUGGUCCUGCGAGGUUCUCCGGAAGCCCGACCUCCAAACGAGACAAGAGUUACGGUGUUUUAAUUUCUUGUUGCUCCUCAGCCCGGAGCUUUUGUGGAAGACGGAAUCUCGGGCCUGCCCAGCACAGCUUCUACGUUGGGAAGCUCUGUUCUCACCAGCGGGGGGAUGAUUCCGCACGCCCCGCCCGAGGCUGGGGAUGCACCUCACUCAAUCCCUGGGCAUUUCGCCGCAGCAUGAGACAGGCAACAAACAAUUCCACAGCCAUGCAAAUUGGCCUCGUUUAUGUAUUUGGAUGGGCUGUGAAAUAUUGGGUGUCAGAUGCGUUUUUGCAAAUCAGGUCUUGUUAGAAAAUCCACCAGAGGAAUUAGCCAGUGAAAACAAAACCGCCAGGGCAGAAAGGACGAUACGCAGGGGAGCCUGGUGUUAUGCUGCGGGAGCCUGGCGACUUCCCUUAGAAAGUUUGUUUUAUUGUAUGACAUGCAGUUAACCUGAAGCAUGGCCGCCCACCCAACAUGCUGGUGCCUGCUAGGACUUCACACUUAGGGAGCUGUGGGCUGUGCCAGGAGGCUGUGUCGGGCGGGCUACACGCUUGGCCCUAAGGCGUCCUCACCGCAGCCUCUGAGGGGGUGUCAUUUCUCUUCCCAGGUAGCGAGUGAGCCCAUGAAGGAAAGUACAGUAAGGUUGCCCUGGCCUGUGCAUUGCCUGUUGCCCAUCUCUUGUGUUCUGUAACCUUUUGCCUACUGUCUCCCACAGCCCCUCCUCCUCCCCCUCCUUCCAACUCUGUUUUCUUAGAUUCUGUAGGUCCACUUGGCGCCAGUUCAGCAAAUGUCAACUAUGCGUAUGGCGACAUUCUGUUGUGGACAUGGACAAAGAUGAAAGAGAGUUUAUUUGUUGUGAUGGAAUUCCAGACCCUGUUGUGGAGACUUGAAUUAUGUCAAAGUUGCAACCUAUGUUGUACUUUGAAUCAAAGCGGUCCCUUUCUUCUUUCCUCCCUCCCUAUCUCUCUCCCUCCAUCUCUUCCUGCCUCCCUCUCUUCCUUCAUUCUUUCCUUCUUUUCUUCUUCUGUCCUAGGAGCAAAGCCCAAAAGCCUGCUCUAAACAAUGUUGAUAAUCUGCCUGCAGGCAAAAGGCAAGUCAAAUAGCCCUUCUGAGCCUGGGGCUACUUCUGGAAGAGUUAGGUCCUGGUAGCUUUUCCACCACAAAAAUAAGAGCAGUUGUCUUGGAGGGAGAGAUUGGCCCGAGAGUAGGAAUCUGGGGUGCACAGGUGAGGCCCCCUCCCCACUCCAGGGGGCUGGAAAGUCCAGUAGGACGCAGGGGCUGGGAGGCAUCACUGGGGUGUCCAAGGCCCAGGGAGCUCACACGGCUUGCCCCACACGGCACGGCCAGGCAGGUGGCAGACCCCGAGCCGGCAGCACGGCAGGGUCUGGCGGGCGGCAUGCCCGACCUGAGCGAACCUGGCAGCGAACACGUGGGUAUCUGCAGGGAGAACUCUCACUCAGGGGCCCUGCAAGCCCCUGCCGUGUCCAGACCCUCCAGACCUGGAGAGAUCUUUUCGGAUGGGAGCAGGAAGUGUGCAUGGCUCUGCGAGAUCCCUCCGCUUCUGAAUGGCGGCGGUUCAUUCACGGACCACCACAUGCAUGGGUCAAACGUGGCCUGGGGGUUGCCGGCCUCCUUCUGAGACUAGGAAGGCAUUCUGAGUCGUGCAGGGGAGAGAAAUGAGGGCUCUUGAAGAUGACGCUGGGCCCUGUCAUUGAAGAGCUCUCAAACUAAGCUGCUGCUGUGCACAGCAGGACGGGAACCUCUCGGAGCUCCGUAGACGACCUGGGAAAUGCAGCACCUGGUGCGGUGGCUGUCCUGAGAACGGAGAGAGCAGACAUGACAACUCUCAGUAGCCGGACACGUGGUCUGUGGCGGGCCCAGGUCACCUCACUCAGCCUCACUCCUUCCACGUUCCCGCCAACCUCGGUGUCAACGGGGCGUGUGUAAGCCCCUGGGGAGUGUGAUGGUGUGGUUUCCACCACGCUUCUCAUUUUUAUCACAGCAGACGUGCACAUCUCAUUCCGGGGGUGGGGAGGUGGCUUCCCCGAAUCCCCUCAGGACACCCCGGGAGACCUCCCCUGGCCACACAAGAACCCCAACCAAUCCUGCCCCCCGAGAGUUGGCCUGGAAAACACGCACAGGCUUCCCUGGCCUCGUGCCCUGACCCUUGAAUGUAGUAAGCAGUUUGACAUGAAAAUAGAUGGCCUUUUUUGGUAAGUAGAUUUGAAGAGGUUUUCUUCGACAUCCAUUCUUACCUCUGACGUAAUGCUCGCCCAGUACUGGGCACGGGAUGCCUGCUAAAUACGUUUUGUAGAAGAGAAGUGUAUUGUUUUCCCCCGCAGCAAAAGCAAUUUAUGUCUGCAAUGGUCAGCUCGGGAACCGUAAGCAGGCUGGAUGGCAUGAGCUGGGAAGGGCAAUGGGUCUGCAUUUUAAUUAUUUUCCUCCAAAGAACUUACGUGAUAUACAAGGUCUACCUGGAAAAAGCGCAGCCAUUGUUAAUAUAACGAGAACGGUUUGCGUGGCAUUGAUGUAACCUGGCAGCCGAGGAGAGUGGACUGGAAUGCGCAUGCGUGAGCCACGAUGCCUUCCCUGUACACAUCAGUGGGGGUGGUAGACACUGUUGAGUGAGCAUGUGUGCUGUGUGGUGUCUCAUUCAAAAUGAUUGAGUGAGUAGAGCAAUGAACCUGCAUCAGAUUUUACCUUAAGCUUGAACAUUCCUCUGUGGAAACUACUCAGAUGAUUCAGAAGGCCAGAGCCGUGGGCAACUGGUGAUUGGCAGCUUCACCACGACAACGUACGUGCUCCUGCAUCACGUCUCAGGCAGAGGUUUUUGGUGAAACAUCACAUCACUCAGGUGACUCAGUCCCUCUACUGCCCAGAUUUGGUGCCCUGUGACUCCUGGCUUUUCCCCAAACUAAAAUCACCUGUGAAAGGGAAGAGAUUUCAGACUAUCAGUGAGAUUCAGAAAAAUACGACAGGACAGCUGAUGGCGACUGGGAGAACCGUGGGAGGUCCCAACGUGCCUGCUUUGAAGGACUGAGACAUCCUUGUCCUAUGUACAGUGUUUCUUGUAUCUUGUAUCUUCUUCAAUAAAUGUCUCUAUU
This is a long non-coding RNA of Phyllostomus hastatus (greater spear-nosed bat), 3667 nucleotides long. RefSeq lists it as uncharacterized. Lineage: Eukaryota; Metazoa; Chordata; Mammalia; Chiroptera; Phyllostomidae. The transcript has 4 exons. The record is from RefSeq and is a predicted model, not a curated record.